RNAcentral lists this ribosomal RNA (253 nucleotides) under uncultured bacterium. RNAcentral describes it as "partial 16S ribosomal RNA". It matches the Rfam family "Bacterial small subunit ribosomal RNA", at positions 524 to 776 of the family's 1533-position model. The record is from RNAcentral.
UACGAAGGGGGCUAGCGUUGUUCGGAUUUACUGGGCGUAAAGCGCACGUAGGCGGUUUGUUAGGUCAGGGGUGAAAUCCCAGAGCUCAACUCUGGAACUGCCUUUGAUACUGGCAAGCUAGAGUCCGGAAGAGGUAAGUGGAACUCCUAGUGUAGAGGUGGAAUUCGUAGAUAUUAGGAAGAACACCAGUGGCGAAGGCGGCUUACUGGUCCGGAACUGACGCUGAGGUGCGAAAGCGUGGGGAGCAAACAGG